GAUGAACGCUAGCGGCAGGCUUAACACAUGCAAGUCGAGGGGUAUAGUAGCAAUACUAGAGACCGGCGCACGGGUGCGUAACGCGUAUGCAAUCUACCUUUUACAGAGGGAUAGCCCAGAGAAAUUUGGAUUAAUACCUCAUAGCAUUGCGAAAUGGCAUCAUUUUGCAAUUAAAGUCACAACGGUAAAAGAUGAGCAUGCGUCCCAUUAGCUAGUUGGUAAGGUAACGGCUUACCAAGGCAACGAUGGGUAGGGGUCCUGAGAGGGAGAUCCCCCACACUGGUACUGAGACACGGACCAGACUCCUACGGGAGGCAGCAGUGAGGAAUAUUGGACAAUGGGCGCAAGCCUGAUCCAGCCAUGCCGCGUGCAGGAUGACGGUCCUAUGGAUUGUAAACUGCUUUUGUACGAGAAGAAACACUCCGACGUGUCGGAGCUUGACGGUAUCGUAAGAAUAAGGAUCGGCUAACUCCGUG
This 476-nucleotide ribosomal RNA is filed under the name uncultured bacterium. RNAcentral's name for it is "bacterial SSU rRNA". It matches the Rfam family "Bacterial small subunit ribosomal RNA", at positions 28 to 507 of the family's 1533-position model. The record is from RNAcentral.